This 70-nucleotide transfer RNA is filed under the name Perca fluviatilis (European perch). Its description in RNAcentral is "tRNA-OTHER". Lineage: Eukaryota; Metazoa; Chordata; Actinopteri; Perciformes; Percidae. The record is from RNAcentral.
GGCUCGUUGGUCUAGGGGUAUGAUUCUCGCUUUGGUGAGAGACGUCCCGGUUCAAAUCCCAGACGAGCCC